This 448-nucleotide ribosomal RNA is filed under the name uncultured bacterium. RNAcentral's name for it is "bacterial SSU rRNA". It matches the Rfam family "Bacterial small subunit ribosomal RNA", at positions 331 to 794 of the family's 1533-position model. The record is from RNAcentral.
CCAGACUCCUACGGGAGGCAGCAGUGGGGAAUAUUGGGCAAUGGGCGAAAGCCUGACCCAGCAACGCCGCGUGAAGGAAGAAGGCUUUCGGGUUGUAAACUUCUUUUGACAGGGAAGAGCAGAAGACGGUACCUGUCGAAUAAGCCACGGCUAACUACGUGCCAGCAGCCGCGGUAAUACGUAGGUGGCAAGCGUUAUCCGGAUUUACUGGGUGUAAAGGGCGUGUAGGCGGGAAAGCAAGUCAGAUGUGAAAACCGUGGGCUCAACCUGUGGCCUGCAUUUGAAACUGUUUUUCUUGAGUACUGGAGAGGCAGACGGAAUUCCUAGUGUAGCGGUGAAAUGCGUAGAUAUUAGGAGGAACACCAGUGGCGAAGGCGGGCUGCUGGACAGCAACUGACGCUGAGGCGCGAAAGCGUGGGGAGCAAACAGGAUUAGAUACCCCAGUACC